This 440-nucleotide ribosomal RNA is filed under the name uncultured Acidovorax sp. Its description in RNAcentral is "bacterial SSU rRNA". It matches the Rfam family "Bacterial small subunit ribosomal RNA", at positions 358 to 789 of the family's 1533-position model. Lineage: Bacteria; Pseudomonadati; Pseudomonadota; Betaproteobacteria; Burkholderiales; Comamonadaceae. The record is from RNAcentral.
GGAAUUUUGGACAAUGGGCGAAAGCCUGAUCCAGCAAUGCCGCGUGCAGGAUGAAGGCCUUCGGGUUGUAAACUGCUUUUGUACGGAACGAAAAGUCCCGGGAUAAUACCCUGGGACCAUGACGGUACCGUAAGAAUAAGCACCGGCUAACUACGUGCCAGCAGCCGCGGUAAUACGUAGGGUGCAAGCGUUAAUCGGAAUUACUGGGCGUAAAGCGUGCGCAGGCGGUUAUAUAAGACAGAUGUGAAAUCCCCGGGCUCAACCUGGGAACUGCAUUUGUGACUGUAUAGCUAGAGUACGGUAGAGGGGGAUGGAAUUCCGCGUGUAGCAGUGAAAUGCGUAGAUAUGCGGAGGAACACCGAUGGCGAAGGCAAUCCCCUGGACCUGUACUGACGCUCAUGCACGAAAGCGUGGGGAGCAAACAGGAUUAGAUACCCCUG